ACGUAGGUGGCGAGCGUUAUCCGGAAUUAUUGGGCGUAAAGGGUGCGCAGGCGGUUUGUUAAGUUUAAGGUGAAAGCGUGGGGCUUAACCCCAUAUAGCCUUAGAAACUGACAGACUAGAGUACAGGAGAGGGCAAUGGAAUUCCAUGUGUAGCGGUAAAAUGCGUAGAUAUAUGGAGGAACACCAGUGGCGAAGGCGGUUGCCUGGCCUGUAACUGACGCUCAUGCACGAAAGCGUGGGGAGCAAAUAG
RNAcentral lists this ribosomal RNA (250 nucleotides) under uncultured bacterium. RNAcentral's name for it is "partial 16S ribosomal RNA". It matches the Rfam family "Bacterial small subunit ribosomal RNA", at positions 525 to 775 of the family's 1533-position model. The record is from RNAcentral.